Molecule: long non-coding RNA, 2844 nt
Filed under: Gallus gallus (chicken)
Lineage: Eukaryota; Metazoa; Chordata; Aves; Galliformes; Phasianidae
Source: RNAcentral
CAGAGAUACCGACGUCGGUCUGUACUGACUGACAGCACAGGACCCACUUCGGCCUGUAUGGACUGAUAGCACAGAGACGCCAACGUCAGUCUGUACCAACUGACAGCACAAAGACCCACAUUGAUGUGUAUGGACUGACAGCACAGAGACGCCAACGUCAGUCUGUAUGGACUGACAGCACAAAGACCCACAUCGGUGUGUAUGGACUGAGAGCACAGAGACAGCAACAUCAGUCUGUAUUGACUAACGUAACACCAUGGUAACACCAACAUCAGUCUGUAUGGACUGACAGCACAGAGACCCACAUCGGUGUGUAUGGAAUGACAGCACAGAGACACUGAUGUCAGUCUGUAUGGACUGAUAGCACAGGGACCCACAUCGGCCUGUAUGGACUGACAGCACAGAGACAGCAACGUCAGUCUGUAUGGACUGACAUAACACCGUGGUAACACCGACAUCGGUCUGUAUGGAUUGACAGCACAGAGAUCAACAUUGCUCUGUAUGGACUGACAUAACAGCAUAACACCAACAUUGGAGUGUAUGGACUGACAGCACAGGGACCCACUUCAGUGUGUAUGGACUGACUGCACAGAGACCAACAUUGGUCUGUAUGGACUGAUAGCACAGAGAUCAACAUUGCUCUGUAUGGACUGACAUAACAGCAUAACACCAACAUUGGAGUGUAUGGACUGACAGCACAGAGAUCAACAGUGGUCUGUAUGGACUGACAGCACAGAGUCCCACAUUGCUCUGUAUGGACUGACUGCACAGAGACCCACUUCGGUGUCUAUGGACUGACAGCACAGAGACACCAACGUCGGUCUGUACUGACUGACUGCACAGAGACCCACAUUGGUGUAUAUGGACUGAUAGCACAGAGACCCACAUCGGUCUGUAUGGACUGACAGCACAGAGACACCGAUGUCAGUCUGUAUGGACUGACAGCACAGAGAUCAACAGUGGUCUGUAUGGACUGACAUAACAGCAUGAUAACACCAACAUUGGUCUGUAUGGACUGACAGCACAGGGACACCAACGUUGGUCUGUACCCACUGAUAGAACACCAUAAUAACACCAACAUCAGUGUGUAUGGACUGACAGCACAGAGACCAACAUUGGUCUGUAUGGACUGAUAGCACAGAGAUCAACAUUGCUCUGUAUGGACUGACAUAACAGCAUAACACCAACAUUGGAGUGUAUGGACUGACUGCACAGGGACCCACAUCGGCCUGUAUGGACUGACAGCACAGAGACCAACAUUGCUCUGUAUGGACUGACAGCACAGAGACCCACAUCGGCCUGUAUGGACUGACUGCACAGAGACAGCAACAUCGGUUUAUAUAGACUGACUGCACAGAGACCCACAUCGGUGUGUACAGACUGAUAGCACAGAGACACCAACGUCAGUCUGUAUUGGUGUGUAUGGACUGACAGCACAGAGACCCACAUUGGUGUGUAUGGACUGACAGCACAGAGAUCAACAGUGGUCUGUAUGGACUGACAGCACAGAGACCCACUUCGGUGUGUAUGGACUGAUAGCACAGAGACACCAAUGUCAGUCUGUAUGGACUGACAGCACAGAGACCAACAUUGUUCUGUAUGGACUGACUGCACAGAGACCCACAUCGGUCUGUAUGGACUGACAGCACAGAGACCAGCAUUGGUGUGUAUGGACUGACAUAACAGUGUGAUAACACCAAUGUCAGUCUGUACCCACUGAUAUAACAUCAUAAUAACACCAACAUCAGUGUGUAUGGACUGAUAUAACGCUGUGAUAACACCAAUGUCAGUCUGUACCCACUGAUAUAACAUCAUAACACCAACAUCAGUGUGUAUGGACUGAUAUAACGCUGUGAUAACACCAAUGUCAGUCUGUGCCCAUUGAUAUAACACCGUGAUAACACCAACAUCAGUGUGUAUGGACUGAUAUAACGCUGUGAUAACACCAAUGUCAGUCUGUACCCACUGAUAUAACAUCAUAACACCAACAUCAGUGUGUAUGGACUGCUAUAAUGCUGUGAUAACACCAGUGUCAGUCUGUGCCCAUUGAUAUAACACCGUGAUAACACCAACAUCAGUGUGUAUGGACUGAUAUAACACCGUGAUACCACCAACGUCAGUCUGUAUGGACUGACAGCACAGAGACACCGACGUUGGUCUGUAAGGACUGACGUAACAGCAUGAAAGCACCAACAUCAGUCUGUUCUGACUGACAUAACACCACGAGGACACCAACAUCAGUCUGUUCCGACUGACACAACAGCAUGGCAGCACCAAUAUCGGCCUGUAUGGACUGCUGUAACACUGUGAUGGCCCCAAUGUCAGCCUGUUCUGACUGACAUAACACCGUGAUGACCCCAAUGUCAGCCUGUUCCGACUGACAUAACACCAUGAGGACCCCAAUGUCAGCCUGGUCCAACUGACACCCCAUGGCAGCACCAACACCAGGCUGUACUGACUGACAUAACACCAUGAGGACAGCAGCAUCAGGCUGUAUUGACUGACAUAACAGCAUGGCAGCACCAAUAUCGGCCUGUAUGGACUGUUGUAACACUGUGAUGGCCCCAAUGUCAGCCUGUACUGCCUGAUAUAACACCACGAUAACACUGACAUCAGCCUGUACUGCCUGAUAUAACACCAUAGCACUGACAUCAGCCUGUACUGCCUGAUAUAACAACUGUAUAACACUGACAUCAGCCUGUACUGCCUGAUAUAACACCAUGAUAACACUGACAUCAGCCUGUACUGCCUGAUAUAACACCAUAACACUGACAUCAGCCUGUACUGCCUGAUAUAACACCAUGAUAACACUGACAUCAGCCUGUACUGCCUGAUAUAACACUG